This 447-nucleotide long non-coding RNA is filed under the name Nicotiana tabacum (common tobacco). Its description in RNAcentral is "long non-coding RNA (NTAB_LNC004163)". Lineage: Eukaryota; Viridiplantae; Streptophyta; Magnoliopsida; Solanales; Solanaceae. The record is from RNAcentral.
CUUAACCUAAAACCCUACAACCUAGACUCUACACUAUAAAAAAGAAGACAAAAGAAUAAGAAAAGGAACGAAGAAGAGGCUGGACAAAAGCUGAGAGAAAGGUUGCACAGCUUUUGGAAAGAGAACGACCCCCUCCCAACGUCUUCUCCUCCGUCAUACCCCACCCUCCUGACUUGAUCGUCUUCAACAUUUUCUUUGCCCGUUUCUGAUUUGGUUCUUCAACAGAAAUACAAAAACGACCCCCUGAUUUCAUCUCCCUCUCUCACCCGACGACUGCUCACCCAAACGACCCCUGAACUUCCGGCGUCGACUCUGUCCAAACGACCUUUACUUCGCCGGUUAUCACUCAACCAGACGAGCUCCCUCGCCGGAAAACAACACCUAAUUCACUCCUUCACUGCCUACACACCUACGCUCAGUCACUCCUCACUAUCGUCGGAAUACACA